Molecule: non-coding RNA, 85 nt
Organism: Punctularia strigosozonata HHB-11173 SS5
Lineage: Eukaryota; Fungi; Basidiomycota; Agaricomycetes; Corticiales; Punctulariaceae
Source: the annotation of a RefSeq genome assembly
GGGCGCAUGGUGUAGCUGGUUUAUCACGCUCGCUUAGCACGCACAGGCAUGCGAGAGGUCCCCGAUUCGAGUUCGGGUGUGUCCA